UGAACGCGGCCGUGGUGCUCCCGCCGAGACCCAGAACGUGAGCAGAUCAUCAGGGCGACCUUAGGGAGGCUCCCCAGGUCCGGACGGCUCUUCUGGAGUUCUAGAUGGUGCUCUAAAGGACCACCCAGAAUAAGGCUGGUAGGGGAGUCAAUCCCGCCUUUAGUGACCUUGCUCUACAAAAGUCUGCCCUUCCGGAGUUCAUGAAUCAAACCUCAAACUCCUUCAAAGGGCCUGACCUAUGUGUGGGUGAGGCGGCUGCCAGGGGCCCCCAGGUGCAAGGGCAUGCCAAUCCUGGGUGUUUUUCCUAAGGGCUAAGAGCACGUGCGGCCGGAUAUGGCCACACGGUGCCAGGUCAAUAAAGAGAGGUGAGGAGGACGCUACAGAGGCAGCUUGAGGGGCCCCCGCUGGGGACACCAGUCACGAGCUGGGCCGAACGCCCGGCCGGGAGAGCAUCGGCAGCAGCAGCCCAGCCCAGAGCACACAGACCGAUUCCUCCACGCGCCGUGCAGAAGGGCAUCUCCGCUCCCGAACACUUCGGUUUUAACUUUAAAUCAGUGCCCGCAAACUCACGGGCCUACCCGGGCCAGGUGGGCGGGAGGCGGGCCUGCUGGGGGUGGUGAUGAACCCGCCAGCGCUCACCCCGCCUCAAAUGCCUGCCCCUGGGGCCAGUGACGGCCACAGGGAAGGCUGACCCAGGGGAGCCACUUCAGGGGAAGCCAGAAGUCACUUUUAUUUAAACAUUUCCAAUUUUAAAACGUUGGCAAUUAACACACACACACUUUGUGGACAGAACACCCGAGCGCGGCAGGGGCUCCCGGGGCUGCCUCUGCACGGUCUGCGUGGACGGCCACCUUCGCUUCGCCUGCACAGAUCUAGUCAGCUGAGGGGACGGGGCUGGGCUCCAGUCUGGCCUUCAAAGUGCAGGGACCGAACCCAUCUCCCAGCUUGCCCCCUCCUUUGCGGACCCCCCUCAAGUCAGCGCGACCACCCGGGACGCGCCCUUCCCUCAGCACCGAAGCGCCAGCACCUCUGAGCUGGAAGCCGAGACCCUGCCCCGGCCCGGCCUCCCCGCUGGGGGGGCACGCCCCUCCUCCUCCGUGGCGCCAACUAGGAAGGGGCCUUUCUCUUACUCUGUGCCUGGCCUUCCCGUGUGGGUGACAAAUGCCAGCAGUCAGCAGACACUGGAUAGAAACACAACCGCUGAAGAAAAACGCCCAGAGCCAGCCAGUAAGAUUAGGAGGCCAGAUGGACGCGAGGACGCUGAGGCCUUCUGGAAGGAGAGGGCUGAGUCUGGUCCUGAAACAGCAGCUCCCGAACCAGAUGAGCCUCUGUCCAGCGCACAUUCCAGAAGGGCUUGCUGCACGCUGGGCACUGCCUUGAGAACUUCAUGCAUUGGCUCAGUCUUUAAAGGACCCCAGGAGGGUUCAUGAGCGUGCCUUCUACAGGCUGGGGGCUCAACACGUGCAUGCGGAUUUGGUGGGUUAUACCAACCACUGCCUACACUCCAGGACCUGGAUGGACAGCCACGGCUUUCCCAGAAGCGCCUGAUCAGUGGAAGCCUAACCCCCGUUGCUAGCAGCGCUGUUACACGCUCGCCCUGCCCCCAAGAGCACAGCGUCUGCUGAAGAGAUGUGACCCGGGAACAGGACAAAACCGACUCAAUGACAGGAGUGCGCCAGUUCCUUCCCUGGUACUGCUUUAAAGGAUUUUCUCCUUAAAGGUACUCGUGGCCGUAGCAAAAUUCUGCUCCGCAGAAGGCGGCCGGUGUCGCUCCCUGACCAAGUGGCCCCGGAGAGCAUGGUGACUGGCCAGCCGUGGCCACGGGGCGCGGAGGCUCGCUCACACCACGGGGACUCACCGAGGGGGUUACUGAUUGUGCGCGCGACCUGGUGGCAGAGACGCCGACUUGGAAAGGUCCCCAAGGGGCCGCCCCUCGCCUGUCUGCAGACCCAGGGCAUGCGGGAUCCGCCGGCUGGGCCCACCUCCUCCCAGACCGAGGGGACGGCAGCCCUGCUGACAGGGGAGGCCUGGCGGGCGGAAAGUCACCGCCGGCCUAACAGCGCGCCAUUCGGAAGACGGGAGCCCUCCUGCCGCCACCUACUUGCUGCUCCUGUUGCCUCAUGGGUCCGGAAACAUUGCGCUGAGCCUGUAGCAUCUGCUGCUGGAUCUGUAAACGCUGGUACGCCUGAUGAGAGAGGACAGGUGAAGUCCCGUCAGAAAGUCGGCAGCAAGGGGUCUGACUUGUUAGUAGUUAAAAAAACCAGAAGGCGGAAAGCGGCCAAGGGUCUUGGUCCCCUUACCGCGCGGUGGUUUACCCUACGGGAGGCGGGAGGGGUUUUGAAAGGGGAUGUGUCUCCCGAGUCCUCCCAGGGCAGAGACUUUUACAGAGCAAGUCGGCAGGGCCG
Suricata suricatta (meerkat) is the source of this 2405-nucleotide long non-coding RNA. RefSeq lists it as uncharacterized. The transcript is spliced from 4 exons. Lineage: Eukaryota; Metazoa; Chordata; Mammalia; Carnivora; Herpestidae. The record is from RefSeq and is a predicted model, not a curated record.